GUUUGCCUACGGGGGGCAGCAGUGAGGAAUAUUGGUCAAUGGACGAGGGUCUGAACUAGCCAAGUAGCGUGCAGGAUGACUGCCCUAUGGGUUGUAAACUUCUUUUAUAUGGGAAUAAAUCGUUCCACGUGUGGGAUUUUGUAUGUACCAUAUGAAUAAGGAUCGGCUAAUUCCGUGCCAGCAGCCGCGGUAAUACGGAGGAUCCGAGCGUUAUCCGGAUUUAUUGGGCUUAAAGCGCGCGUAGGUGGAUUGUUAAGUCAGAUGUGAAAGU
This 271-nucleotide ribosomal RNA is filed under the name uncultured bacterium. RNAcentral's name for it is "partial 16S ribosomal RNA". It matches the Rfam family "Bacterial small subunit ribosomal RNA", at positions 333 to 601 of the family's 1533-position model. The record is from RNAcentral.